Molecule: unclassified non-coding RNA, 253 nt
Filed under: uncultured Parcubacteria group bacterium
Lineage: Bacteria
Description: contains 16S-23S intergenic spacer region
Rfam family: Bacterial small subunit ribosomal RNA
Source: RNAcentral
UACGAGAGCCUCGAGCGUUAUCCGGAAUCAUUGGGCGUAAAGGGUGUGUAGGUUGUUCUAUUAGUCUUACGUUAAAUCCCCCGGCUCAACCGGGGAAUCGCGAAAGAUACGGUAGAACUAGAAAGUGCGAGAGGUGUACGGAACUCUAAGUGUAGGGGUGAAAUCCGUUGAUAUUUAGGGGAACACCAAAAGCGAAAGCAGUACACUAGCGCAUGUUUGACACUGAGACACGAAAGCGUGGGUAGCGAAUGGG